AAUGGCUCAUUAAAUCAGUUAUCGUUUAUUUGAUAGUACCUACCAACUACUUGGAUAACCGUGGUAAUUCUAGAGCUAAUACAUGCUAAAAACCCCGACUUCGGGAGGGGUGUAUUUAUUAGAUAAAAAACCAAUGCCCCUCGGGGCUCCUUGGUGAUUCAUGAUAACUCAACGGAUCGCAUGGCCUUGCGCCGGCGACGGUUCAUUCAAAUUUCUGCCCUAUCAACUUUCGAUGGUAAGGUAUUGGCUUACCAUGGUUUCAACGGGUAACGGGGAAUUAGGGUUCGAUUCCGGAGAGGGAGCCUGAGAAACGGCUACCACAUCCAAGGAAGGCAGCAGGCGCGCAAAUUACCCAAUCCCGACACGGGGAGGUAGUGACAAUAAAUACUGAUACAGGGCUCUUUUGGGUCUUGUAAUCGGAAUGAGUACAAUUUAAACCCCUUAACGAGGAACAAUUGGAGGGCAAGUCUGGUGCCAGCAGCCGCGGUAAUUCCAGCUCCAAUAGCGUAUAUUAAAGUUGUUGCAGUUAAAAAGCUCGUAGUUGAACCUUGGGCCUGGCUGGCCGGUCCGCCUCACCGCGUGUACUGGUCCGGCCGGGCCUUUCCUUCUGGAGAGCCGCAUGCCCUUCACUGGGUGUGUCGGGGAACCAGGACUUUUACUUUGAAAAAAUUAGAGUGUUCAAAGCAGGCCUUUGCUCGAAUACGUUAGCAUGGAAUAAUAGAAUAGGACGUGCGGUCCUAUUUUGUUGGUUUCUAGGACCGCCGUAAUGAUUAAUAGGGAUAGUCGGGGGCAUCAGUAUUCAAUUGUCAGAGGUGAAAUUCUUGGAUUUAUUGAAGACUAACUACUGCGAAAGCAUUUGCCAAGGAUGUUUUCAUUAAUCAGUGAACGAAAGUUAGGGGAUCGAAGACGAUCAGAUACCGUCGUAGUCUUAACCGUAAACUAUGCCGACUAGGGAUCGGGCGAUGUUUCUAUCUUGACUCGCUCGGCACCU
Molecule: ribosomal RNA, 991 nt
Filed under: Pseudotetraploa curviappendiculata
Lineage: Eukaryota; Fungi; Ascomycota; Dothideomycetes; Pleosporales; Tetraplosphaeriaceae
Description: SSU rRNA
Rfam family: Eukaryotic small subunit ribosomal RNA
Source: RNAcentral